RNAcentral lists this transfer RNA (75 nucleotides) under Flavobacteriaceae bacterium. RNAcentral describes it as "tRNA-Thr". It matches the Rfam family "tRNA". Rfam says of the family: Transfer RNA (tRNA) molecules are approximately 80 nucleotides in length. RNAcentral also lists the same sequence under 1 other name. The record is from RNAcentral. Lineage: Bacteria; Pseudomonadati; Bacteroidota; Flavobacteriia; Flavobacteriales; Flavobacteriaceae.
GCCGGUGUAGCUCAGGGGUAGAGCGUUUCCUUGGUAAGGAAGAGGCCACGGGUUCAAAUCCCGUCAUUGGCUCCA